AACGAACGCUGGCGGCAUGCCUAACACAUGCAAGUCGAACGAGACCUUCGGGUCUAGUGGCGCACGGGUGCGUAACGCGUGGGAACCUGCCCUUAGGUUCGGAAUAACUCCCCGAAAGGGGUGCUAAUACCGGAUAAUGUCUUCGGACCAAAGAUUUAUCGCCUUUGGAUGGGCCCGCGUUGGAUUAGCUAGUUGGUAGGGUAAAAGCCUACCAAGGCGACGAUCCAUAGCUGGUCUGAGAGGAUGAUCAGCCACACUGGGGCUGAGACACGGCCCAGACUCCUACGGGAGGGAGCAGUGGGGAAUAUUGGACGAUGGGGGAAAGCCUGAUCCAGCAAUGCCGGGUGAGUGAUGAAGGCCUUAGGGUUGUAAAGCUCUUUUACCCGGGAUGAUAAUGACAGUACCGGGAGAAUAAGCACCGGCUAACUCCGUG
RNAcentral lists this ribosomal RNA (433 nucleotides) under uncultured bacterium. RNAcentral describes it as "partial 16S ribosomal RNA". It matches the Rfam family "Bacterial small subunit ribosomal RNA", at positions 29 to 507 of the family's 1533-position model. The record is from RNAcentral.